GACGAACGCUGGCGGCGUGCUUAACUCAUGCAAGUCGAACGAUGAAGUUCCUUCGGGAAUGGAUUAGUGGCGAACGGGUGAGAAACACGUGAGAAACCUGCCUUUCAUUUUGGGAUAACUCCGGGAAACCGGAGCUAACACCGAAUACUCCGUCUCGGCGGCAUCGCUGAGCCGGGAAAAAAUUUUGAUGAAAGAUGGUCUCGCGGCCUAUCAGCUAGUUGGUGAGGUAAUGGCUCACCAAGGCGACGACGGGUAGCCGGCCUGAGAGGGCGACCGGCCACACUGGGACUGAGACACGGCCCAGACUCCUACGGGAGGCAGCAGUGGGGAAUAUUGGGCAAUGGGCGCAAGCCUGACCCAGCGACGCCGCGUGAGGGAUGAAGGCCUUCGGGUUGUAAACCUCUUUCAGUAGGGAAGAAGCGAAAGUGACGGUACCUAAAGAGGAAGCACCGGCUAACUAUGUGCCAGCCGCCGCAGUAA
This 480-nucleotide ribosomal RNA is filed under the name uncultured bacterium. RNAcentral describes it as "partial 16S ribosomal RNA". It matches the Rfam family "Bacterial small subunit ribosomal RNA", at positions 28 to 523 of the family's 1533-position model. The record is from RNAcentral.